Molecule: ribosomal RNA, 327 nt
Filed under: uncultured eukaryote
Lineage: Eukaryota
Description: partial 18S ribosomal RNA
Rfam family: Eukaryotic small subunit ribosomal RNA
Source: RNAcentral
CCCUUAGAUGUUCUGGGCCACACGCGCGUUACACUGAUGAAGCCAGCGAGUAUAUCGCCUUCACCGGAAGGUGCGGGUAAUCUUGUGAAACUUCAUCGUGCUGGGGAUAGACCAUUGCAAUUAUUGGUCUUGAACGAGGAAUUCCUAGUAAGCAUGAGUCAUCAACUCGUGCUGAUUACGUCCCCGCCCUUUGUACACACCGCCCGUCGCUACUACCGAUUGAAUGGUUUAGUGAGAUCUCGGGAUUGGAGACGUUGCGCCGCAAGGCACAUCGUCCUCGAGAACUUGAUCAAACUUGAUCAUUUAGAGGAAGUAAAAGUCGUAACA